RNAcentral lists this ribosomal RNA (545 nucleotides) under Flexamia abbreviata. RNAcentral's name for it is "partial 16S ribosomal RNA". It matches the Rfam family "Archaeal large subunit ribosomal RNA", at positions 1889 to 2688 of the family's 2987-position model. Lineage: Eukaryota; Metazoa; Arthropoda; Insecta; Hemiptera; Cicadellidae. The record is from RNAcentral.
CGCCUGUUUAACAAAAACAUUUCUUUUUGGUUAUUUAAAAAGUACCUUCUGCCCUAUGAUGAUUUAUUAAAUGGCUGCAGUAUUUUGACUGUGCAAAGGUAGCAUAGUAAUUAGCUUCUUAAUUAGAAGCUUGUAUGAAUGGAUGUAUGAGAGGGAUAUUUUAUUAGUUUUAUUAUUAAAAAUUUAAUUUUGAGUUAAAAUGCUCAGUAUUCUCUUGGGACGUAAGACCCUGUAGAACCUUACAUAAAAAUGUAUUAUUAAUUUUUAUUAUAAAAUUAUAUUAAUAUGUUUUUUUGUUUUGCUGGGGUGGUUAAUAAAUUCAAACUUUAUUUAUAUAAAUCAUUAUUUUUGUUUAUUUUGAUCUUUUGUUAGGAAUUAUAAGAAUAAGUUACCUUAGGGAUAACAGCGUAAUUUUAAUGGAAAGUUCACAUUUAUAUUAAUCUUUGCGACCUCGAUGUUGAAUUAAGACAAUCUUAAGAAGCAGUUUUCUUAAUAUUAGGUCUGUUCGACCUUUAAAUUCUUACCUUGAUCUGAGUUCAGACCGG